Molecule: long non-coding RNA, 1009 nt
Organism: Neofelis nebulosa (Clouded leopard)
Lineage: Eukaryota; Metazoa; Chordata; Mammalia; Carnivora; Felidae
Exons: 3
Source: RefSeq, a predicted model, not a curated record
AGAAGGGCAAAACCAACAAAAAACAAAUAAAAUAAAAGUAGCUUCUUUGUACUGAGCCAACAAAGUGAUUGGUAAACAUGAGAUUUGUGUGUCUGGAAUACAGACCCAAGUGAUGUUUAGUCUUAGUUAUAUGGGAACAGCUUUCUUCUUACUUGCUCUAGUAUUCCUCAGACUUUGCCAAGUGGGCCCUGCUCAUGCUGCAGUUAACGUAUUUUUAAGCCCGACCACUUAUGGCCAUCAAUCUUAAAACACGGUAUGCCAGCUUCAUUUUUCUAAUUGAAAUUAUGUGACAUUUACUCUCCUUUCUUGUUCCUUUGACCUUGCAUUCUCCAGUGUCUCUCUUCUAUUGUGCUACUGGCUGAACAGAAAGCUGUUCUCCAAUGACCCAGGCCUGUCAUCUCGUCUUAUCCCAACUUGACUGAUGUUUGAGGAUACAGCUUUAAGAUAUUUCCUCAUUUGGCCUACCUGGAGCUGGAAGGCUGAACUGGUAGAUAAACUUCCGUGAUCUAUGAAUAAACUCUGUGAUGAAGGGGACCUGUGUCAUUUAAUUCGUAAAUCUUGCAGAGGCAUUUGGGCAUUUCUAAGGAGGACUAAAGCUGCCACGAUACUUCUGGAUGCACAUGGUACAUUGCAAAUACAAGUUUUUCACCUCAGUAAAAAAUGCAGAGACCAACAAAGUCAAAAGCUACAAACUUAAUCCUAGAGGCAACAAUGAAUGAGACUUUCAUGGACAUUUUAGAAGAUGGAAAAAUAUUAAGGAUGUUUCACUUGAAGUUAACGUAAACAUGUGGAUUAAUUUGGAGAGCACUGACCUCUUUACAAGAUACGGCCCUCUGCUUUCAGAAUGUGUAUGUCUGCUCAUUUAUUUAAAUAUUCUGUGUCCUUCAGACAUGUUUUUAGUUUUAUUAUAAUUUCUUCAUACUUCUCCCUAAUUUUGUUCCUAGGCACUUUGUAGUUGUUGCGAAUGCAAGUGGAAAUUUGGAUUCCAAGAUAUUUUUAAACUAGUAAA